GCGUGCCCGCCGCCCGGGCAGCCCCCGCCUGCCCCUGUGCCAGCCCGCCCGAGCCAUCACCGAGCCCGCCGGCGCGGCCGAGGGCAAGCGAGCGGGCCUGCGGGUGUGCCGGCCCUGCGGCAGGGAAUCAUCGAGUCAUCGGGGCUGGAAGAGACCUUUAAGGUCGUCCAGUCCGACCGUCAGCCCAGAACUACCGCUGUGACCCCCUGAAACACUAAACCACGUCACCCAGCGCCAGGCACAGCAGAAGAGACCGGCCCCCACCUCACUGCAACCUCCUGUAGGUGGUCGUGAAGAGUGAUGAGGUCGCCCCUGAGCCUUCUUGAGACUAAACAACCCCAGCUGCCUUAGCCCUUUCUCACAAGGCUGAAGGGCCAGAGGAAUACAAAUACCUAACAUUUCCAUUAUUCAGUGGGAUUUUUGAGGAUUCUGAAAUGGAACACUGUCUGCAUCACUCACAGCUGGAAAUGAAGAGCUAAAUAUGAUUCUUUUGAGUCUUGUUCAAAAAAUAUUUAGAAAGCACAGGACACCUGGAUGGUGUGGUGAGCAAAGAUUCCUACAUGCUGUUAGCUCACAGUUAAAUGUGAUAUACAGAGUGCAGUUGUUCCUUUUUACCCUUGCUGAUGAGGCUGUACCUUGAACUCACAGAGAGCUGAGACACCAGUUGGAUUCUUGGCAAACUCGGUGUUACCCUCUCUGCUACGACACCCAGUCAUUUCACCAGCCCUAACAAUAAUUUGAUUAUAUGAUGUUCCCUCAAAUCUCUUUUAAAUAAAAUUCCUGCAUUUUGUCUGCAUCUGUUUCAU
Pseudopipra pipra is the source of this 806-nucleotide long non-coding RNA. RefSeq lists it as uncharacterized. The record is from RefSeq and is a predicted model, not a curated record. The transcript is spliced from 4 exons. NCBI's taxonomy places the organism in Eukaryota, Metazoa, Chordata, Aves, Passeriformes, Pipridae.